Molecule: ribosomal RNA, 2382 nt
Filed under: marine metagenome
Description: bacterial LSU rRNA
Rfam family: Bacterial large subunit ribosomal RNA
Source: RNAcentral
CCCCUGACGGCGUGCCUUUUGCAUAAUGAGCCGGCGAGUUACUUGUAUGCAGCGAGGUUAACUCACUCAGUGAGGUAGCCGUAGCGAAAGCGAGUCUGAAUAGGGCGUCUCAGUUGCAUGCAGUAGACCCGAAGCCAGGUGAUCUACCCAUGGCCAGGAUGAAGCGGGAGUAAAAUCUCGUGGAGGUCCGAACCGCCGAACGUUGAAAAGUUCUCGGAUGAGCUGUGGGUAGGGGUGAAAGGCCAAUCAAACCUGGAGAUAGCUGGUUCUCCCCGAAAUAGCUUUAGGGCUAGCCUCUUGUUAAAGAGUCGUGGAGGUAGAGCACUGGAUCGGCUAGGGGGCUUACCCGCUUACCAAACCGAACCAAACUCCGAAUGCCAUUGACUUGUUCCAAGGGAGUCAGCGUGCGAGGGAUAAACUCCGUACGCGAGAGGGAAACAACCCAGAUCGUCAGCUAAGGUCCCAAAGUGUAAGCUAAGUGAUUAAAAGGAUGUGAAAUUGCUGAGACAGCUAGGAUGUUGGCUUAGAAACAGCCACCAUUUAAAGAGUACGUAAUAGUUCACUAGUCAAGUGAUUUUGCGCCGACAAUGUAUCGGGGCUAAGUUUACCACCGAAGCUACGGACUCAGCGUUUCGUUCGCGAGACGCUGAUUGGUAGGGGAGCGUUCCAUAGUAGGCUGAAGGUAAACCGUAAGGUUUUCUGGACGAGAUGGAAGUGAUUAUGUCGGCAUGAGUAGCGAUAAUGCAGGUGAGAAUCCUGCACACCGAAAAUCUAAGGUUUCCUGGGCUAGGCUCGUCCUCCUGGGGUUAGUCGGGACCUAAGCUGAGGCCGAAAGGCGUAAGCGAUGGAAAACAGGCUAAAUAUUCCUGUACCACUUACAGCGCGUUUGAGCUAUGGGGUGACGCAGAAGUGAAAGGUCAGCCAGCGACUGGAAAUGCUGGUCUAAGCCAGUAGGAGGACUGUCUAGGCAAAUCCGGACAGUCACUACUCCGAGAGGCGAUGGGGAGCCGCUUAGCGGCAUAAACUGACCCUAAUCAUGCUGCCUAGAAAAACCUCUAUGUGAGUUCUGUAGGUGCCCGUACCGUAAACCAACACAGGUAGAUGAGGAGAGUAUCCAAAGGUGCGCGAGAAAACCCUCGUUAAGGAAUUCGGCAAAAUGAUCCCGUAACUUCGGAAGAUGGGAUGCCCUCAGUAGGUGAAGCUCUUCGCGAGUGAAGCCCAAAGGGGUCGCAGAGAAACGGGCUGGGCGACUGUUUACCAAAAACACAGGUCUCUGCUAAGCCGCAAGGCAAUGUAUAGGGACUGACACGUGCCCGGUGCUGGUAAGUUAAGAGGAUGAGUUAGUCUUCGGACGAAGCUUUGAAUCGAAGCUCCGGUAAACGGCGGCCGUAACUAUAACGGUCCUAAGGUAGCGAAAUUCCUCGUCGGCUAAAAACCGACCUGCACGAAUCGUGUAACGACUUGGCCGCUGUCUCAACGAGGGACUCGGUGAAAUUGUAGUUCCGGUGAAGAUGCCGGAUACCCGCGGCAGGACAGAAAGACCCCGUGAACCUUUACUAUAGCUUGGUAUUGGAUUUUGACACUGUACGUGUAGGAUAGGUGGGAGGCUAUGAAGCGGGAGCGCCAGUUCUCGUGGAGCCGUCCUUGAAAUACCACCCUUGCUUUGUUAAAAUUCUAACCUUGGUCCCUUGAUCGGGAUCGGAGACAGUGCCAGGUGGGUAGUUUAACUGGGGCGGUUGCCUCCUAAAAAGUAACGGAGGCGCCCAAUGGUUCCCUCAGCGCGGUCGGUAAUCGCGCGUAGAGUGUAAAGGCAUACAGGGAGCUUGACUGCGAGACUUACAAGUCGAGCAGGUGCGAAAGCAGGGCUUAGUGAUCCGACGGUUGCAUGUGGAAGCGCCGAAGCUCAACGGAUAAAAGGUACUCCGGGGAUAACAGGCUUAUUGCCCCCAAGCGCUCAUAGCGACGGGGCAGUUUGGCACCUCGAUGUCGGCUCAGCACAUCCUGGGGCUGGAGAAGGUCCCAAGGGUUUGGCUGUUCGCCAAUUAAAGCGCUACGCGAGCUGGGUUCAGAACGUCGUGAGACAGUUCGGUCCCUAUCCGCCGUGGGUGUAGGAUAUUUGAGGAGAUCUGACCCUAGUACGAGAGGACCGGGUUGGACGGACCUCUGGUCUACCAGUUGUUCCGCCAGGAGCAUCGCUGGGUAGCUACGUUCGGCAGGGAUAAACGCUGAAAGCAUCUAAGCGUCAAGCCCACUCCAAGACUAGAUAUCCCGUAGGGUUAACCUACCUAAAGGCCCCUCGUAGACUACGAGGUUGAUAGGCUGCAGGUGGAAGCGCGGCAACGCGUGAAGCCGAGCAGUACUAAUUGGCCGUGAGGCUUGACC